This 468-nucleotide ribosomal RNA is filed under the name uncultured bacterium. RNAcentral's name for it is "bacterial SSU rRNA". It matches the Rfam family "Bacterial small subunit ribosomal RNA", at positions 337 to 797 of the family's 1533-position model. The record is from RNAcentral.
GCCUACGGGUGGCAGCAGUCGAGGAUCUUCCGCAAUGCACGAAAGUGUGACGGAGCGACGCCGCGUGGGUGAUGAAGGCCUUCGGGUUGUAAAGCCCUGUCGACUGGGAAGAAUGGCGGGAGGUGAAUAGCCAUCUCGUCUGACGCUACCAGUAAAGGAAGCACCGGCUAAAUACGUGCCAGCAGCCGCGGUAAUACGUAUGGUGCGAACGGUGUUCGGAAUCACUGGGCAUAAAGAGCACGUAGGCGGUCGGGCAAGUACAUUGUGAAAUCCCCCGGCUUAACCGGGGAACGGCAAUGGAUACUACUCGGCUUGAGUGUAGGAGGGGAGAGUGGAAUUCCUGGUGGAGCGGUGAAAUGCGUAGAUAUCAGGAGGAACGCCGGCGGCGAAAGCGACUCUCUGGUCUACUACUGACGCUGAGGUGCGAAAGCUAGGGGAGCAAACGGGAUUAGAUACCCCAGUAGUCGA